Molecule: long non-coding RNA, 1241 nt
Filed under: Vulpes vulpes (red fox)
Lineage: Eukaryota; Metazoa; Chordata; Mammalia; Carnivora; Canidae
Description: lncRNA (ENSVVUG00000025206.1)
Source: RNAcentral
GGAGCACCCACUCCCCCUUCUCAAUGAUUCUUCCCCAGGCCUGGGAAGUGCCUGGUAAACCCACUGGCCUCCAGCACAUGACGGGUGCUCCAUCUACCUCAGGAGAAGAACAAGAACGGGAUGGGGAAGGGAGGCAAAAAAAUGGGAAGAAAGAGAGGAAAGACAGAGAAGGAAGGAAGAGGAGAGUCAAGGAGGGAGACCUCUGAAGAGCUCACCACAGAUGCAGGAGGAGCAAAACUGAGCUCACGGAUGCUGGUCUAGGUGAGCUGCCCAUCCAAGGCCCAAAGCCACGGCCCCAUGAGAAGACUGAGUCAUCCUUACCUGCUGCAUUUCCAAGCUGGUGUCAGCCCUCACUGACACGCACCACCUCCGUGGAUACUGAGGAUUCUGGGCUUGUAUCUCAGCCUUGGAGGGAUUUAGCAGCAACCACAAGGCCUCAGGAAACUCAAAAAUGGCUCCGGGGGAGGAAUAUAUUGGUUCUACUGCCCUAAGGAAAGAGCUGAGAAGUCAAGGACUUACCCUGUCCAGGGCCUUCGGGAUCAAAGGAAUGAAGGAAUCUCCUCUGAAGGACCAAGAAGAAAACACCCAGGACAACAGUGGCCUGACUCCAGGGCCUGCCCACGUCAGGUCUCCAGGUAGCUUUGCAGCCUGAGACACUGCCUCCACGUCUGCCACCAUGUCACCACGCAGCACGUCCUGGGACCUCGUCCUUCAUCCGACAGCUGGCGUGGUCUCUCUAUGGACCCGGUGGCCUCCUGUGUAGCUGCUGCUGCUCGCCAAGCUGGGGGAGGCCGAGGCACAGCCCUCGGUAACUGAGCACCCACUUCUGCCCUGAGCUUCUCCCUCAUCCUGUCCCCCCCACCGAGGUAGGAACUAUGGCUUCUGACAGGCCCAGGGAGGCUCCAAACAGAAGCCAGGGCCCCAGCCACGCAGCCAAUCACAGAGCUGGAAUCUGCCAUCAGAGUCCCAUCUAGAGAGAGAGGAAGGUGCCAGGGUACCAGGGACUAAAGCCCAGGGGACCGAGGGGAGCCCGGCGCUGCCCCCCUGGCUGUGUGGCCCCCACCCGCACUCAGCUCCACAACAACGCCUGAACAAACUUCAUCCACUUCGACUUUAAAAAAGAAAACCCAGGAAAUAAUUACUUCAGUCAGACAUUAUUUACUUAAGUAAUUCUUUACUCAAACGUCUUUAGGCUUUAUUUUACUAAUACUACAUAAUUACGUAAUUGUGUAAUUAGGAAG